Molecule: ribosomal RNA, 459 nt
Filed under: uncultured bacterium
Lineage: Bacteria
Description: partial 16S ribosomal RNA
Rfam family: Bacterial small subunit ribosomal RNA
Source: RNAcentral
CCUACGGUGGGGCUGCAGUGAGGAAUAUUGGUCAAUGGUCGGGAGACUGAACCAGCCAAGCCGCGUGAGGGAGGAAGGUACAGAGUAUCGUAAACCUCUUUUGUCAGGGAACAAAGGCGGGGACGUGUCCCCGGAUGAGUGUACCUGAAGAAAAAGCAUCGGCUAACUCCGUGCCAGCAGCCGCGGUAAUACGGAGGAUGCGAGCGUUAUCCGGAUUUAUUGGGUUUAGAGGGUGCGCAGGCGGUCUGUUAAGUCAGCGGUCAAAGCCCGGGCCUCAACCCGGCCCGCCGUUGAAACUGGCAGUCUCGAGUUGGAGAGAAGUAUGCGGAAUGCGCGGUGUAGCGGUGAAAUGCAUAGAUAUUAGGAGGAACACCAGUGGCGAAGGCGGCCUGCUGGACGACAACUGACGGUGAGGCGCGAAAGCGUGGGGAGCAAACAGGAUUAGAUACCCGUGUAGUC